RNAcentral lists this long non-coding RNA (2734 nucleotides) under Olea europaea (common olive). RNAcentral describes it as "long non-coding RNA (OEUR_LNC006982)". The record is from RNAcentral. Lineage: Eukaryota; Viridiplantae; Streptophyta; Magnoliopsida; Lamiales; Oleaceae.
AAGCCCUGAGUUCAAUCUCCGUUUCUGCAAAAAGGAAGAAAAAUCAGUCAUGGAGCUCAUUUGAAAACCCUCAAGAGCAGGACAACUAUAAUUACAGGGUAAUCUAUAAAUCUGAAUCUAGCCGAGAACUUGGUAGGAAGUUUGAUGCUGCAACACAGACGGAGGACACAACAGGGAGAAGGAGGAGAAGCACAAACAUGAAACAAGUGGAGGAGAAAAAGACUGUAGAGACGAUCAGCUCAAACAGUUUGAACUAUGAAAAUGGAAACAGAGAAUAUCAAAGUGCUGAUAAUGGAAAAAUGAAGGCUUCUCAAGUUUUUAUGAAGUUGAUUACUUGUGGAUCAUCUUUCACUAUUAGUAGACACAUAUAACAAUGAUACUUGAAAUAAUAUAUAGAGUUGCCUCCUACAAAUGCAUGUCCUCAACUUAAUACCAAAAUCAUUAUCUUCUAGUCUUAUGUAUGACUUUAACAUUGAGUUUGUCUUAAAGAGUUUCCUACCACUACUGAUGGUCCCUGUGUUGCUUCAAUGUUCUCCAAGGCAAUGGUUUAAUUUCAUAAGUUCUGCAUUCAUGAUAGAAUGUUGUCUGCUAGUUACCAUCACAUUGCUUUGACUGGAACAUCUGUUGACCUUAAUAAUGACGAUUAUCUGCUUACUUUUGACGUCCACUAUGAACAUAUAUACUUCAACAGGAUUUACUAUGUUUUGUUUCGUGUUUCUUCAACAUGGCUUCCUAUACAUAUCAUUGCUUGAAAUUAAUUUGUUUGUUUGAUAGGUAACCAAACUUUGAAUGGUUUUUUUUCCCCGAUAUAGCAAAAUUACUUCCUUAUGUUGUAAUCAUAUAUUUCUGCAGAACUAGUCUACCAUGCUAGUCCCUUGUGCACCUCAUCAUGUGGAUGCAAUAGAUUUUUUUUGUUGAACAAUUGCAUAGUACGCUGCUAUCAAGAGCACAUUAUUGACAUUUGAUCCAAAAGAAUGAUCUUCCCCUUCAAUAAGAAGUUGCAGUCCAUUUUACUGGAAUCAAGUUCUCUUAACCAGGAAAAUGAUGAAGACCACAGAUUAAGUAUUCCCCGCGGACUUGUAAGACCUUUCAUUGUAACCACACUUUGAUAAUCAAUAAACUACAAUGCCUCCCUCUCAAUUGUUGUAUCUCAUCUCUCCCUCUCUUAUUCUUUCCUAAUUCUACCCCCUCUUCCUCCUCCCUCUUUUACAAUUUUAAGUUCUCAUCAGUCUUCAUCAUAACUAGGCACCAGAAUUUGAUCCACUUAACUCUCCAAGAAGAGAAGGUACAAUAACAAAACAAUCUUGUAUCAUUAUCAUGAGAAUAAUGCUAUUCAUAGUCAGUGACUAUAGUAGUGAUUCUUACGUGACAGUUUGUCAUUUGAAACAUUAGCUUAUUAUUUAAGGCAACAGAAAACUAAUGUCUCAAAUAGCAAGCUGCUACAUAAAGAUGAAUACUGUAAUCGCUGACUAUGAAUAAUAUUAUUCAUAUCAUAAUUAGAAAGAUUACAUGUACAAAACAAUACCCUCUUUACCCAGGUGGCAUAUUUUCUGUAAUUCCCAAAACCAUAUAAUUUUUCCUGUUGUUGUGGCACUGAGAGACAAAACAUAUGACGAUGAGCAACAAUGGAGCACAAGCCGAGUGGAAUGAGUGAAUAAAAUUUCAGCCAGACCAUAUGCCAAGAUAAAUGGAAAAUGACUAGCUGCAUAGACAGGCCUUUUUCCAGGCUGAGGUUUAUAACAGAUUUCAUUCUUUUUCAGAUAGACUUCUAUUGAAAGAAGGCAAGAAGCAAAUAACGGCAAAACAAUACUUUGAUGGAAGGAAGAGAUCAGAACCCAUGUCUGGUAGAUGUAGAAAAUGGCGGUUCUCGCACAGAUUUAGGCAGCACGGGAAACGUACUGCAUAGAGUUGCAUCCACACAAGGGCCACACAAGGGCAUGCUCUUGCAUGUCAGCCAUUGGACUCAAAUCCCUAUAAGAGAGACAAAAUAAAGUUUCCAUGGGUAAAAGUCAUGAAUACAUGUCCAAAGCAAAAUCAUCAAGAAGAGAAAACCCUUUCCUCUUAGGUUGUUCGCCCUUACACGUGCAAUUUAGGAGAUACAACUUAUUCAUGGACGGCAGAAGUUGAAAUGCUGCUUUUCCAUGACACACAACUAUACACUUCCACCAGGUAAUUUUACUGCACGGCAUUAAAAGAUUUUUUUGGUGAGCGAAAUAAGAGAAUCUAUUUCAAAACUUUGCAAGUAAUCAAGCUAGACUCUUUUCAAACAUUUUGAGAAGUUUUGGUGUCUCACACAAGUUAUGUGUAAACUUGCCUAGAGCAUUGUUUUUUCUAGCACUCAAGGAAUGGCAAGAGGAUACAAUGAACUUCAAGUUAUGUAGCCAAACCACAUGAUCAUCAACACGACAACACAAUUACCUAGGGUAAAGGAAUUCAGUAUACCGGACUUUUACGGUUUGAAGUGAAUCUAAUCUUAAUCGAAAACACAAGUGGCCAAUGCAAGUAUUGCCAUUUUAUAAAGUAAGCAUGAAAUGAGCACCAAACCUUCGUCUUUUCACCUCUGUUAGAGAACAAUCCAUCAUUCCUCAAGUCCUGAAAUCAAGAAGAGUUCUUCCCUGUACUGGGCAUGCUUAUCCCUCUUUCAAAAAGGUCGAGGACCCCAGAAUAAGGGAAUCCUGCAAGAAGCCAUUAUUGAGUUUUAAAAAGUUUGUUCAAUUAACAUACAAGCUUCCCU